Molecule: long non-coding RNA, 1018 nt
Organism: Gallus gallus (chicken)
Lineage: Eukaryota; Metazoa; Chordata; Aves; Galliformes; Phasianidae
Source: Ensembl
CAAAAACUCCACUAUACACUGAGACAGCAGUAUGCAUGGAGCAUUUGAAUGUUAACAUCAAGUAAGUCGCUGAAAACAUGAAACGAAGCUGAGGACAUGUUGUGAAAAAUACUGUGACAAAGCAAACAAAAAACAACUGUAUGAAAAUGAAGUAUUUGCUGUAGAGACAGAAACAUCCAGAUAGAAAUUAAAAAGUGCUUUUGCUUUUUCCCCAUCCACAACCAGACCUUAAAUUAAAGGAGCAAUUGCUUAGAAGUUAUUCCAAAGCCAGUCUUUUGGUAAAAUGGGAUUAUGAUGGGAAUGUGCAAUUCCUAAACUAAAACAUCCAGAUAGUAAACACAGAUCAUGCAUGACCUGAAAGGGACCGCAUCACUGAUGUUUGAAACUGAAGCCUUAAAAAGGAACCACUCCAAGCCACAACAUAUCAAGAUAAACACUGGCUGCAGAUGUGUACGUCUGGAAAAUACUGUUUGCUGUAUGACAUCCACUCGUUAUUGUGAAGGAGACAUGCUGCAAGGCCACAGCUGGCAGCUGUGAGAAAACGUGUCACGGCAUAGACCUUCAGACCUAGGUUGGCAUUGCCAGCAGCUGAAACUCCUGGAGCUGUAAACACUGUUGAUAUUGUCUAAAGGAAAAAACAAACAAACAAACAAAAAACAACAAAAAACAGCUCAGGAAGACCUGACAAAUGUACGCUUGCUCCUGCAUCAGUGUGCUAGGGAUGGAUUCUGGUAUACACACAUGGCUGGUUGUUCACUAGUAAGGUACCAAUCAAAAAAAAGACUGUUCAUUUACAGUUAAUUCUAUUUAUCACCAGUCAGGGAAUCAUACAGGGGAUUCAGCACCAGCCUGCCACUGGGGGGAAAACAACUGGUGUUGCUGCCUCCAAGGGUCUCAAACAGGUCAGCAUCCACCUGCACCCUGCCUGCACAUUACACCCAGGUGGGCACCCAGCACACAUUACAAAUUGCAUAGAGAACAGAUAAGGGUAGAGUAUCCUCCCUUAAAUCAAGCUCAU